RNAcentral lists this ribosomal RNA (1112 nucleotides) under Semnoderes armiger. RNAcentral describes it as "16S ribosomal RNA". The stretch from base 907 to 1065 matches the Rfam family "Archaeal large subunit ribosomal RNA", at positions 2542 to 2701 of the family's 2987-position model. Lineage: Eukaryota; Metazoa; Kinorhyncha; Cyclorhagida; Kentrorhagata; Semnoderidae. The record is from RNAcentral.
GCUGUUAAUUUUUUAUUAAAUAAAAAAAAAAUAGAUUUUUCUGAAAAGUUGGGUAAAAGAUUUUAGAUGUAAAGGUUAAAUUUUAUUUUGUUUUUAGUAUUAAAUUUUUUAGAGAGAUGAUAAAAUUUUUAUUUUUACGAAAUAAAAAGAUUUAUUUAUUUAGUUGUUUUAUUUAAUAAGAGAAAAAUUUUAAAUAAGAAAUAAAUGGUAAAGAUAUUUUAAUCGGGUUUUAUUAUAAUUUGUUUAAUGUAAAAAUUUUUAAAUAGUUUAUAUUUUAAAAAAAGAUUUAUAGUAAAGAAGAUAAUUUUUUAUUAGGAAGAUUAUUUUAUAAAAUUUAAAAUUUUAAAUUAUAGAAUAGAAGUUUCUUAAAUAGUUAUGGUUUUAAUAAAAAAUUAAAAAUUAAUGGUAUCAAUAUAAUAUAACAAAUAGGGGGAUUAAGCUUGUAAAAAUUAAAAAAUAAGAUAAUAAUUAAAAAAUAAGUAUAAUAAGGAUAAUAAAAAUUAAAAAAGAGUUUAAAAAAUGGUUUUUUAUUUGAUUUUAAAAUAAAAAUUUUAACAAAAUAUUAUCUUAUAUAGGGCUAUAGAAAUUAUAAGUUAUGUCUGCUCUAUGAAUUUUUUAUAAAAAAUUUUAAAUGGCUACCUUAGCGUGAGGGUAUAAAAGUAGCGUAGUAGUUUGUCUUUUAAUUGAAGUCUAGAAUGAAUGGAGUUAAUAAAUUUUUUAAUAGAUUAAUAAUCUUUUUUUUCUUAAAAAUUUUGUGUUUAGUGAAAAUUCUAAAUAUUUAAAAAGGGAGAAUAAGACCCCAAAAACUUUUUUAGUUUGGUUGGGGCAAUUUUUUAUAUUAAAUUUAUAUAUUUAGUUUAACCAUUAUAAUCAGUAAGUAAGGAUUUUUAAUUAAGUUACUUUGGGGAUAAUUGGGUAAUUAAAGUUUAUAGUUCAUAUUAUUAUUUUAGUUUACUACCUCGAUGUUGAUUUAUUUGGAAUUUUGUUGGAGAAAAAAAAAAGAAAUGGUUUGUUCACCCAAUAAUAUUUUUCAUGAGUUGAGUUCAAGUCGACGUAAGUCAGACUGGUUUAUAUCUUUUUAAAAAAAUAAUUUGUACGAAAGGACUUUUAUU